Molecule: transfer RNA, 74 nt
Filed under: Janthinobacterium sp. AD80
Lineage: Bacteria; Pseudomonadati; Pseudomonadota; Betaproteobacteria; Burkholderiales; Oxalobacteraceae
Description: tRNA-Gly
Rfam family: tRNA
About the family: Transfer RNA (tRNA) molecules are approximately 80 nucleotides in length. Their secondary structure includes four short double-helical elements and three loops (D, anti-codon, and T loops).
Source: RNAcentral
GCGGGCGUAGCUCAAUGGCAGAGCGGAAGCCUUCCAAGCUUUCCACGAGGGUUCGAUUCCCUUCGCCCGCUCCA